This 774-nucleotide ribosomal RNA is filed under the name uncultured Neocallimastigales. RNAcentral describes it as "partial large subunit ribosomal RNA". It matches the Rfam family "Eukaryotic large subunit ribosomal RNA", at positions 24 to 616 of the family's 3401-position model. Lineage: Eukaryota; Fungi; Neocallimastigomycota; Neocallimastigomycetes; Neocallimastigales. The record is from RNAcentral.
GCAUCUGUGCAUGCAGCAUAUCAAUAAGCGGAGGAAAAGAAACUAACAAGGAUUCCCCUAGUAACGGCGAGUGAAGCGGGAAGAGCUCAAAUUUGAAAUCUUAAAGGGUUUCCCUUUACGAAUUGUAGUUUAAAGAAGUGUUUUCUGUUGAGGUUUUGGUAAAAGUUCUUUGGAAUAGGACAUCAUAGAGGGUGAGAAUCCCGUAUUUGACCUUUACUUUCAACUUUGUGAUACACUUUCAAAGAGUCGGAUUGUUUGGGAAUGCAGUCCAAAAUGGGUGGUAAAUUUCAUCUAAAGCUAAAUAGUUGGCGAGAGACCGAUAGCGAACAAGUACCGUGAGGGAAAGAUGAAAAGAACUUUGAAAAGAGAGUUAAACAGUACGUGAAAUUGUCAAAAGGGAAGCGUUUGACACCAGUGUUGUUUUUCUGAAAAUCAAUUAAAGAACUGUUUAUGCUAAGCUGUUUAGACUUUAUCAGCUAACUGUUUAGUUUUGAGCUUUUCUUUAAUGCACUUUUCAGUUAACAAGUCAACAUCAAUUUCUUUUGCUGUAAAAAAGCUUGAGGAAGGUGGCUUGAGAUUCGUCUUAAGUGUUUAUAGCCUCUUGCCUAUGCAGUCGGAGAGAUUGAGGUCUGCAGCGUAGAUCCUUCGGGGCUAAAUGCAUUUGUGCUAAGUUAUAGCAUUUUAUAGACAACUUGUUGACUAUGAUUUGUCUUGUAGCUUACUCGCUUAUGUUAUUUUACCUACGCUUAGGAUGUUGAGCGCAUGUCUCUCUCU